RNAcentral lists this ribosomal RNA (253 nucleotides) under uncultured bacterium. Its description in RNAcentral is "partial 16S ribosomal RNA". It matches the Rfam family "Bacterial small subunit ribosomal RNA", at positions 524 to 776 of the family's 1533-position model. The record is from RNAcentral.
GACGAACCGUCCAAACGUUAUUCGGAAUCACUGGGCUUAAAGGGUGCGUAGGCGGCGCGGAAAGUUGGGUGUGAAAUCCCUCGGCUUAACCGAGGAACGGCGCCCAAAACUACCGUGCUUGAGGGAGAUAGAGGUGAGCGGAACUUAGGGUGGAGCGGUGAAAUGCGUUGAUAUCCUAAGGAACACCGGUGGCGAAAGCGGCUCACUGGAUCUCUUCUGACGCUGAUGCACGAAAGCUAGGGUAGCGAACGGG